Molecule: ribosomal RNA, 883 nt
Filed under: uncultured bacterium
Lineage: Bacteria
Description: bacterial SSU rRNA
Rfam family: Bacterial small subunit ribosomal RNA
Source: RNAcentral
GAUCCUGGCUCAGAACGAACGCUGGCGGCACGCCUAACACAUGCAAGUCGAGCGCCCAGCAAUGGGAGCGGCGGACGAGUGAGUAACACGUGGGAACAUGCCUUUCGGUUCGGCACAACUCAGGGAAACUUGAGCUAAUUCCGGAUGCGCCCGUAAGGGAAAGAUUUAUCGCCGAAAGAUUGGCCCGCGUAAGAUUAGCUAGUUGGUGAGGUAAUGGCUCACCAAGGCAACGAUCUUUAGCUGGUUUGAGAGAACGACCAGCCACGUUGGGACUGAGACACGGCCCAAACUCCUACGGGAGGCAGCAGUGGGGAAUCUUGGACAAUGGGGGAAACCCUGAUCCAGCGAUGCCGCGUGAGUGAUGAAGGCCUUCGGGUUGUAAAACUCUUUUACCCGGGAAGAUAAUGACUGUACCGGGAGAAUAAGCUCCGGCUAACUUCGUGCCAGCAGCCGCGGUAAUACGAAGGGGGCUAGCGUUGUUCGGAAUUACUGGGCGUAAAGCGCGCGCAGGCGGCCAUUCAAGUCAGGGGUGAAAGCCCAGAGCUCAACUCUGGAACUGCCUUUGAAACUGUAUGGCUUGAGUAUGAGAGAGGUGAGUGGAAUUCCCAGUGUAGAGGUGAAAUUCGUAGAUAUUGGGAAGAACACCGGUGGCGAAGGCGGCUCACUGGCUCAUUACUGACGCUCAGGCGCGACAGCGUGGGGAUCAAACAGGAUUAGAUACCCUGGUAGUCCACGCCGUAAACUAUGAACGCUAGCCGUUGGUCAGCUUGCUGAUCAGUGGCGCAGCUAACGCAUUAAGCGUUCCGCCUGGGGAGUACGGCCGCAAGGUUGAAACUCAAAGGAAUUGACGGGGGCCCGCACAAGCGGUGGAGGCAUGUGGUUU